This 440-nucleotide ribosomal RNA is filed under the name uncultured bacterium. Its description in RNAcentral is "partial 16S ribosomal RNA". It matches the Rfam family "Bacterial small subunit ribosomal RNA", at positions 338 to 795 of the family's 1533-position model. The record is from RNAcentral.
CCUACGGGAGGCAGCAGUGGGGAAUAUUGCACAAUGGGGGAAACCCUGAUGCAGCGACGCCGCGUGAGUGAAGCAGUAUUUCGGUAUGUAAAGCUCUAUCAGCAGGGAAGAAAAUGACGGUACCUGAUUAAGAAGCACCGGCUAACUACGUGCCAGCAGCCGCGGUAAUACGUAGGAGGCAAGCGUUAUCCGGAUUUACUGGGUGUAAGGGGAGCGUAGACGGCAGCACAAGUCUGGAGGGAAAGGCCGGGGCUUAACCCCGGAACUGCUUUGGAAACUGUGCAGCUAGAGUGCAGGAGAGGUGAGUGGAAUUCGUAGUGUAGCGGUGAAAUGCGUAGAUAUUAGGAGGAACACCAGUGGCGAAGGCGGCUUACUGGACUGUAACUGACGUUGAGGCUCGAAAGCGUGGGGAGCAAACAGGAUUAGAUACCCCUGUAGUC